UGGACAGAUUACUGUAUUCGACUGUAUUCACGGCAUGAAACAUGGGGGGAUUACACUAUUUUUAAACGGAAAGUGUAUCAGUUAAUAUAAUAGACUCCU
Molecule: microRNA precursor, 99 nt
Filed under: Nicotiana attenuata
Lineage: Eukaryota; Viridiplantae; Streptophyta; Magnoliopsida; Solanales; Solanaceae
Description: MIR6152 microRNA precursor family
Rfam family: MIR6152 microRNA precursor family
Source: Rfam by way of RNAcentral